Stegodyphus dumicola is the source of this 514-nucleotide long non-coding RNA. RefSeq lists it as uncharacterized. Lineage: Eukaryota; Metazoa; Arthropoda; Arachnida; Araneae; Eresidae. The record is from RefSeq and is a predicted model, not a curated record.
CUAAAGGAAAGGGAAGCAGUAAAACAAAGGUGAACGCUUUCAUUAAAGACAGUUUUGUAUAUAAAGGCUGUGAAUACCACACAAGAUCACAUUUCGCAUUCGCUUCAGCUUGCACUCUCAUCUCUUCUCUUGCAGAGCCAACGAAAACCUAGUCAAAAAUGAACAGCCGAGUUUUCUUCACCAUCGUCUUAGCCAUCGCCCUCCUGGGCAACAUUUGCUUGGCCUCUCCUGGCAUGGGUGGAGGAGGUGGAGGAAUGAUGGGAAUGGGAGGAGGAAAGGGCAACAAACAUGGAGGAGGAUCCAGAAUCACAGAGAUGUUGGCAGCAGGAAUGGUCGCCAAGAUGUUGAGCGAGAUGCAUGGUCAUAAAUGUCAUCAUCAUCACGGCCAUCAUCACGGUUAAGCAUUCUCUCUUCAAGAAACCUUCCUCAAUUGUACAUAGCCAUUUUCAGAGAUUUUAUAUAUAGAGCCAUUAUUAUUUGUUGCUAUCGAAUAAAAUAUUUUAUUUACAAUAUA